UACGGGGGGGGCAAGCGUUGUUCGGAAUUACUGGGCGUAAAGGGCUCGUAGGCGGCCAACUAAGUCGGACGUGAAAUCCCCAGGCUCAACCUGGGAACUGCAUCCGAUACUGGAUGGCUUGAAUUCGGGAGAGGGAUGCAGAAUUCCAGGUGUAGCGGUGAAAUGCGUAGAUAUCUGGAGGAAUACCGGUGGCGAAGGCGGGUCUCUGGGCAGUAACUGACGCUGAGGAGCGAAAGCGUGGGGAGCGAACAGG
This 253-nucleotide ribosomal RNA is filed under the name uncultured bacterium. Its description in RNAcentral is "partial 16S ribosomal RNA". It matches the Rfam family "Bacterial small subunit ribosomal RNA", at positions 524 to 776 of the family's 1533-position model. The record is from RNAcentral.